AUAUAUAGCCAGCAGUUUGCUCUCAGCAAAUCAUAUGGUCGCCCACUGAAGCUAAGCAGGCCUGUGCCUGGUCAGUACCUGGAUGGGAGACCACAUGGGAAAGCUAGGUUGCUACUGGAA
This 120-nucleotide ribosomal RNA is filed under the name Danio rerio (zebrafish). The record is from RNAcentral. Lineage: Eukaryota; Metazoa; Chordata; Actinopteri; Cypriniformes; Danionidae.